This 30-nucleotide non-coding RNA is filed under the name Rattus norvegicus (Norway rat). Lineage: Eukaryota; Metazoa; Chordata; Mammalia; Rodentia; Muridae. The record is from RNAcentral.
GCUCUGCUGAAAUUAUUGGUCAUUCUUAAG